GGGUCGUUAGCUCAGUUGGUAGAGCAGUUGGCUUUUAACCAAUUGGUCGUAGGUUCGAGUCCCACACGACCCACCA
This 76-nucleotide transfer RNA is filed under the name Pseudomonas sp. Its description in RNAcentral is "tRNA-Lys". It matches the Rfam family "tRNA". From Rfam's summary of the family: Transfer RNA (tRNA) molecules are approximately 80 nucleotides in length. Their secondary structure includes four short double-helical elements and three loops (D, anti-codon, and T loops). Further hydrogen bonds mediate the characteristic L-shaped molecular structure. tRNAs have two regions of fundamental functional importance: the anti-codon, which is responsible for specific mRNA codon recognition, and the 3' end, to which the tRNAs corresponding amino acid is attached (by aminoacyl-tRNA synthetases). tRNAs cope with the degeneracy of the genetic code in two manners: having more than one tRNA (with a specific anti-codon) for a particular amino acid; and 'wobble' base-pairing, i.e. permitting non-standard base-pairing at the 3rd anti-codon position. RNAcentral also lists the same sequence under 24 other names. Lineage: Bacteria; Pseudomonadati; Pseudomonadota; Gammaproteobacteria; Pseudomonadales; Pseudomonadaceae. The record is from RNAcentral.